GGCAACAGCUCAAAUUUGAAAUCUGGGCCUUUCAGGUUCCGAGUUGUAAUUUGUAGAAGAUGCUUCGGGUGUGGCACCAGCCUAAGUUCCUUGGAACAGGACGUCAUAGAGGGUGAGAAUCCCGUAUGCGGCCGGCCGCCUUCGCCCAUGUGAAGCUCUUUCGACGAGUCGAGUUGUUUGGGAAUGCAGCUCAAAAUGGGUGGUAUAUUUCAUCUAAAGCUAAAUAUUGGCCAGAGACCGAUAGCGCACAAGUAGAGUGAUCGAAAGAUGAAAAGCACUUUGGAAAGAGAGUUAAACAGUACGUGAAAUUGUUGAAAGGGAAGCGCUUGCAACCAGACUUGCACGCUGCUGAUCAUCUGGGGUUCUCCCCAGUGCACUCGGUUGCGUUCAGGCCAGCAUCGGUUUGGGUGGUUGGAUAAAGGCCUUGGGAAUGUAGCUUCCUUCGGGGAGUGUUAUAGCCCUCGGUGCAAUGCAGCCUACCCGGACCGAGGACCGCGCUUCGGCUAGGAUGCUGGCGUAAUGGUUGUAAGCGACCCGUCUUGAAACACGGACCAAGGAGUCUAACAUCUAUGCGAGUGUUUGGGUGUCAAACCCAUACGCGUAAUUAACGUGAACGGAGGUAAGAACCCUUAAGGGUGCAUUAUCGACCGAUCCUGAUGUCUUCGGAUGGAUUUGAGUAAGAGCAUAGCUGUUGGGACCCGAAAGAUGGUGAACUAUGCCUGAAUAGGGUGAAGCCAGAGGAAACUCUGGUGGAGGCUCGCAGCGGUUCUGACGUGCAAAUCGAUCGUCAAAUUUAGGUAUAGGGGCGAAAGACUAAUCGAACCAUCUAGUAGCUGGUCU
RNAcentral lists this ribosomal RNA (840 nucleotides) under Calycina ellisii. Its description in RNAcentral is "partial 28S ribosomal RNA". It matches the Rfam family "Eukaryotic large subunit ribosomal RNA", at positions 100 to 957 of the family's 3401-position model. Lineage: Eukaryota; Fungi; Ascomycota; Leotiomycetes; Helotiales; Pezizellaceae. The record is from RNAcentral.